CCGGACCUUGGUUCAGACUCCACACGAAUAAUGCAGCGCAUCUGUGUUUCACGCCGAACAAGGACCUACGGGCGCCGGCGAUCGCCGGAUCUUUAUGAAAUUAUCUCAACAUCACCCAGAGACAUAGUAUAAUCAAAGCAGGAAGCGAGGCAGGGAUAAACACGAACCGGAUAGGAUACCGAUCAUAGGUGGAACUGACACUGCGACACACACACACCACAACAACAAGCUCCAGCUGAGCAGACGCAGGCACGGUGGCCGGCGAGAGUGGCACCGCGUCGCUCGCUGGCUGCUGACUGGGCACUGGGCCUCGACACGACAACACUUUUAUUUAGCCCACGUCACCGCGCGACCCCGCGCAAAGCACCCCACACCUAGUACGUACUCGUAGUAAAAAGGUAGCACCCCACUCCACUCCACUGGCUGACUGAGCAUCGCGCCGUGCCACGUAGGAGCACACGGCCGCCGCCGCCGUGGACGCGCGCCUCACACGCUCACGGUGGCCUCCUCUGCCGCGGCCGCGGGCGCCUCCUCCGCUGCAGCCGGCGCUUCCUCGGCGACGGCCGCCACCUCCGGCUCGGCGGCAGCGGGUGCCGCCUCCUCCUCCUUCACCUCCUCGGCCGCCGCCGCCGGCUCGGCCUCUGCCACGGCCUCCUUGGUCUCCGUCUCGACCACGGCUGGCGCCUCGGCCACCGGCUCGGCCGCAGCUGCCGGCUCGGGCUCCUUGGCCUCCUCCGUCACGGCGGCGGCCGGCGCCUCCUCCUUGGCCGCCUCGACCUCGACGGGGGCAGGCGCCUCGACCUCGGCCUCCGCCGGCGCGGGGACCUCCUCCGUCUUCGCGGCCUCCUCGGCGGCCACGGGCGUCUCCACCGCCGGCGCCUCCUCCGUCAGCGCGGCCGUCGGGUUCUGGACCUGCACGUUUGCACACUCAAUGCCAUCAGCCCCACGCACAUGCCAGCACGUACACAAACCGAUCAAGCUCGAGCUCGACCACGAUCAUGGGCGUUCGUCAGAUCGCGUAGAUCCAUCGGAACGACCAUCGAUCCGAGAACAUGAAAGAGAACAGACGAUCGAUCGAUCCGAUCGAGGCAAGCUAGCUAUACGUACAUCAGCGGUGGCCAUUGCCGUGGUGGAAGCAAGAAAAUGCCCGGAGCUAGCUGAAGCUAGUGCUACUGUGACCCUGUUGUGUGCCUGUGGCUGAUCCGAUGAGAGAGUGUGAGGCGUGUGUGUCUGUGUGGAGCAAUGGAGGCUAUAUAUAGCGGCCUCCGGAGGCCAAAACGGGGAGAACACAAACGCAAAUCGAAGGCCAAAAAAAUUUAAAAACGAAGCCGAUCGACGGGUCGAGGAAAUAAACAAGCCGAGUCCGUCUCAUGAUGAUCGGGAAUCUGGGGAGCUGUAUGUGCAAAUAAGCACGUCCUGACGACGUGCGGUUGUACGUGCGCGUCAUGCCAUCGAAGUAAAAGGUGGCCCGUGAGUCAUGACACUGUGUAAAGGGUCCAAAGAACAUACCAGGGUGCCCGUGCACGGCCCGCGUCUAGUUCAUCUCGCUCCACAUGUUGCUCGAUCAGGAUCGGUCGUGCCACACACACACAAAUAUAUGUUCGAGAGAAAAGUUGCGAGAUUCUUGAACUUAUUUUCCAUUUUCCAUAAGUUUCCGUGUACGAUCGGCCCUGCUGUCACGUUGAUGUGUGUGCCGUGUGCUGGCCAAACCUGAUCCGGCCCUGGUGGCAGUGGCAACAUGCAAGUGGGACCUUUUGAGGUGUACACAACAACACAUCUCGUCCUCCUUGCACGUUCUGCGCCGUCCUUUCCAUCGGACCGUCGAUCCCUUACCGAUUAAUUAAAUAUAAAUGAAGCCCUCGCCGAUUUAGCCGUAGCAGUAAUCGAUUCCAUCAUCUGUGAUUUGGAUCGAAACGUAUUUGAUUAGCCUUUGUUUUGUACGUACGAGAUUACGAUAGCUGAGCAGGGGCGGCUGUCGUCCGGGUUGGCGUGGAGACAAUGGAGUUGGAACCGAUGAAUGUGCGCGCCUGAAUAGUCGCGAUUUGGUUUUGGGAUUUAGGUUAGCUCUCCGUCUCAGGGUAGUACGUGGCCACCCGGCCUAUGCUACCGUAUAGACUUUCUUUUCCAGCAGUACGUAUGUUCUUUUUCUUUUUCCUUUUUCUUUUCGAGAUGUGACGUGAUGUGGAUCGGUGAAACCUAAUUAAGGUCCUGGUUACGCAUAUGUUUGCUGAUGGAGAGGGGGAGGGCGGCAUUCACUCAUUUUGCAAAACGAUUAUAUAUAUAUAUAUAUAUUGUCAUACACAGUAUGUAUGAUGUGCUAGGUAAUCCAGGGGUAAAAGUUUCUUUUAUUAUAGAAAAAAAAAUAAGGUGGUGGUGUCGAAUGGACCAAGGUUUUUUGUGAGAGCAAUUCCAGAUCCCCAAGCAAUCACCGCUGGAAUCGUGUCCCUGUUCUAGCGCUACAGUGGUAGCCUGCAUGUGUCAUGCUUCAGAGUCGAUCAGCAACAACAAUUAUGACAGCAACUGGAUGGAUGUCCCCCAUCACCUUUGGCUCUGGGGCUCGUCUACUUGCUCCGGCCUCCACCACCUUUGCCCGAAAGCUAGCGUAGAUAUAUGCAAGACGAUUACUACCGCGCCGCAGGGGUAGUUGUCCAUGGAUCAACCUCACGCUCCAAAACAAGAAACUUAUCAGAAAAGCAACGGGGAUAUCAUCAGCGGGACAGCGAGAUUACACUAACACGAAGUAGCACGCCACUAAUUAAUCGUCGCCACCUGAUCUCUUCCCUCGCCGGUCACCGCCGCCGAAAGGUCGAGAGACGGACAUGCGCAGCAAGGUAGCUGAGCUCUUACAAAAUGAGUGAAACCCCUUGGUUGCCCAUGUAAUCUUCUUUCCUCCUCUAAACUAAUUGCUUGCAGAUGAUUUUUGGCCCCGGUGGAGUGGAGGCGAUGGGGUUGGGCAGCUUUCUUUUCGAGAAAAUUCUCGCCGCCGUCGUUGUCGUCGCUUUAAACCGGCCAUUCAGAUCAUCAGAUGGCAUGGAAAGCGACGAGCAAGCAGAGUCCGCACCGGGCGUCCAACAUGCGCCGGCCACGGCCAGUGCCCGGUAGGACGGUCCGCUGGGCUGAUUGGUGCCACAUCACGCAGAAGAGAUAUACUAGAGUAGAGCAGUCGACAUGGCCGGCUGUCAGCCCCGGCCCCGCCUGCGUGUCCCUCCACCGCCGUGAUCUCCCGUGGCACCGGCCGGCCAGCUGCGCUGCUCGCUUUCGGCGGCCGUGCCAUGCCAUGCCAUGCCAUGCCAUGUGUGGUCGCCAUCGCGCACGCCGGUUCGAUCCAGACUUUCGUGUUGGCCAGCCAGCGGUGGGGUGUGGCUGCGGCUACAUAACGCCGAGCUUUCACAAAGGUGACGGGUGAGGCGCCGCAUAGGGAGCCACGGAGUUGGUGGGCGCAGGGAGCGGGGGGUGGGAUGAUUGGAGCCCAUGACCCGGAAGCGAUGGUGAGGUGGCGCCACGGCUAGGGGCGGUGGAGGAGGGGCCCGCGUCACAGUGCCCGUGAUGGAAACGGCGGUGUGCGGACGCGGCGUUCCACUUCCACCUGUGAAUGACGUGUGAUGUGCCUCCAUGUCGGACCGCGGCCACAUGCGAUUUUUAAUGGAGUAUACUUGUACGAGUACGAGCUGAUCCACCUCAGCGUUUUGUUGGUUCGUCCAAACGACGAGCCGGGAUUUGCGCAGAGCAGGUUGCUUGAUUGGAAGAUGCAGUAUAUUUCCUUUUGAAUAUGACCUCCCUCCCUCCGUUUCUAAAUAUAAGACAUUUUAAACAUUGCACUAUAAACUACAUACGGAUGUAUAUAGACAUAUUUUAGAGUGUACAUUCGCUCAUUUUAUUUUGUAUGUAGUCUUUUAAUGAAAUAUCUAAAAGAUCUUAUAUUUUGCAACGGAGGGAGUAGUAGGCAAAAUUCAGGCUUGCGGCUUUCGAUAUAGUAUAUUUUUGGCUGCAUUUGUCAUCCGGCGUGGAAAAACAAAAUUUCUUUUGGCUGCUCCAUCGGUGUCAUGCAAAUACAUGAAUUUUUUUAGGGUCGAUGUCGCCGCGCAAAUACAUGAAUUAUUAAGAGAGAGCUUUGGUAAGUUAGAAAAAAAAAAGGUGCACUGAUUGGCAAUGGGAGACUUGUAUAGGACCUUACCUUUGAGGCAUUUCUAACCGAUCCUCAAUAGAGCCAUAAGCGCAACUUUAACGGGUCGAUCCAAACGGAUGACGGUUUUGUCUCUUUUUGUUCGUUUGGGUCGUCCACCGGCAUGUCCGUGUCUGUUUCUUUAAAUGGGUCAGCACAUGUAUCCAACGAAAAGCAAGUGAACAACAUCUUUGUGACAAUGGGGUGGGUCAGCGAAUUAAGUAAGCACGCACAGGUGGGUGGGUGGCUAUGUGACAAGUCGGCCAGGCCGGCCACAUGCAUACACAGAGAGGGCGCGCGCGUCCGCUUCGUGUCCGUGCCGACGCAUUUCAGUCCCAAAUUUGAGCCAGAAAUGGGUCGGCGCAGACGUAAAGCGGACGCGUUUCGGAAAUGGGUCCGCCGUUGGCCAUCACUUUUAUCCGCACGGACCCAAACGGACGACGGCGGACGAAAUGGGUCGCACCAUUGAAGUUGCUCUAAGAAAGUAAAUCGCAUUACUCCUUUAUGGCGGACGACCCCCUAAAAAUGUUAACGCAGUAAUUAUUUUAAAUAUACUUUAUCUUUCGACGGUCGAGUAAAACCCGUCUCACUUUGGACGUCCGAGAAGGAGGUCCAAGAGGUGGUGACCGAGGUGGAGGUUGUCGAGGUGAUCGAAGCAAGCAUCAAGACCUCGAGGACCCACACCCAUAACUACAACCAAAAGGACGACCUUGCACUUUGCAAUGCUUGGUGUGCCAUUGUAACGUCGAAGAUGAGAUUCUAUCCUUAUUUUGACGCGAGGGCCUCGACAGGGAUAGAAGCGCAUCUCGUCGUUUCGCAAGAAUGGACAUCAUUACAAGUACAUGUACAGAAAAGAUGAGUAUAUGGAAUUGGCUUACACUCGUCACAAGCUACAACGUGAACAACACAAUACAACAAUGUAUUCAAUCACCAUGUAGAAGAUCACGGUCCAACUACAGACUAAAUCAAAUGAUAAAAGGUCGACGUUCAUCCUUGCUAUCCCAGACUUUCGGCGUAAAACCCAUUCUAGAUUGAUGAUGAAGAAGAAGAAGAAACUCCAAAUGGCACAAUCUCGCGCUCACAUCAAAGUAUGGCUUUACGUGUACCUGCAACUGUUGUUGUAGUAAUCUAUGAGCCACAUGGACUAAGCAGUCUCAUUUUCAAAGGUAUCAAGACUAGCAAAGCUUAAUGGAUGAGGUAUGCUUAAGUGAUGAGGCUGCAACAAGCGACUAAACAUUUAUUCGAGUGACUAACUUACGAGUACAAGAAUAAUAGGGGGUGAUCUACGCAUAACAUACGUGAUCUAAUAAUGAUCUCAAAGUGAUCCUGAACACCUACUUACGUCCGACAUAAACCCACCGUAUCCUCUUCCGGAUGCAGAACUCACGAAAAGAGACAGUCACGGUUACGUACAUAGUUGGCAGGUUUUAAAUAAAUUUACUUCGAGUUAUUUAGAACCGGAUGUUAAACAAAGUUUCCAAGUUUUCACAUAACCACGGGCACAGCUCUAAAAAAUAAUUAACCCUGUAGGAGUGCUUCAACUAGUCCAUCAAAAACUACCACACGCUGCAUCGGAAACCUCGACCGCGGAAAACCUGUGAUCUCCUCAGAUUCCUAGUGGAAAACCUCAACCUUGAUAUUACCCAAAGUAUCCUCGGAAUCCCUCGUGCAAGACGUUCGGGAAAGGUAAAACAAAUCCAGCAAGGCUGCCCGGCGUGUCGAUGAUUCUAAUAGGAGUUGUGUAUCUCAUUCUCAGGACACGAUGGAUAAGCACAGCGUAGAGUGGCAUGAUAGAUAUCUCCCGAAUUGCCCUGGGUUGGCCUCGCACAUGGCUCUAGUUUGGACCAACACUCAUGGAGAGCACUGGCCCGGGGGUUGAUUAAUUAUCCACGGGGUCCGAAAAGUCUCUAUGCAAUUUUAUUAGGUUAUUAGACAAAUGUAGUACAAAUGUUGGGCCUUGUCGGAAGAUUUUUAUACCAAAACGAAAGUCAAGGGGGUCCCCAUAACAACCCCAAGCAUGUUAGGAGCGUUCAGUAUGGAUCUUAACACCGGUACACAACUAGCUAGGGUAGCAAAGGUGGAACAAAACACCGAGCUAGAAGGCCAAGCCUUCUACCUUUUACCAAGUAUAUAGGUGCAUUAAAUUAAAUAAAGAUAAUAUGGUGAUAUAACAAGGAAUCCAUGUUGACACAUGGAAAGCAACUACACCUGCAACUAGCAACGCUAUAAGAAGUCUGACCAAGCAGUAACAUAGUCAAACAGUGGCUUGCUGGGAUGUGGAGGGGUUAGAGGUUUUCAUGGAAAUGUUGGAAGGCUGACAUUUAAGUGGUAGGCACCGAGACAUAGCGAAAGAAACGAGACAACUAGCAUGACAAUGAUAGUAAUCGUAUCUAGGGAAAUGAUCAUCUUGCGUGUGAUCCCACUUGGAAGAAGAACGAAUCCAUGAAGCAGACGAACCGACGUAGAGGAACGAAUCCUCACACUCAAUAGCGGUUCCGAACUCUAUCGAGAAGAAACAAUCCGGAAACAACAAUCAACACACAAUAACACCACAACAUAUGCAUGACAUGACGUGCAAACAAUUAUGAUGCAUGUCCAUUUAAUUAUGUACGACACGACAAAGCACAACAAUUUAUUACUACAUAUUAUAUGAAGCUCAAUAUGCAGCUCGUUGGAUAUUGACAAANNNNNNNNNNNNNNNNNNNNNNNNNNNNNNNNNNNNNNNNNNNNNNNNNNNNNNNNNNNNNNNNNNNNNNNNNNNNNNNNNNNNNNNNNNNNNNNNNNNNAUCCAUCACUGAUCCACUGCCUACCAGUCUUUUACUACUGGUCCUCGCUACGUUACUUUGUGUAGGCUUGUCCCUUGCUACAAAAGGGAUUGGGCCACUUUGCUGCUACUAUUGCUACUGCUGCCACUUUGCUGCUACUGUUGCUACUGCUGUUACUUUGCUGCUGCUGCUACUGUUGUUCCUUGCUACUCCGCUGCUACUUAGUGCAAAACCUUUUCUGGAGCAGUUGCUGGGGAAGAAUAGUCCCCCGUCAACGUGCUUUUUACUGGCGCCAUUGAUACAACAGUUAGGAAUAGUCUGCCGUCAACACAUCGUUUCUGGCACUGUUGCUAUCAUACUACCUUGCUACUGAUACUUUGCUUGCAGACACUAAUCUUUCAGGUGUGGUUGAAUCUGACACACUCAGCUGCUAAUACUCGAGAAUAUUCUUUUGCUUCCCUUGUGUGAACCAACAAAUUUGGGUUGAAUACUCUACCCUCGAAAACUGAUGGGAUCCCAUACGCUUGUGGGUUGUCAAUGCACCGCAUUUUGGCAACACCAUGUUUCCUAGAGUUGGCAACAAGGACCAGGUCCACUCUUACCUGGUAGAUAUGCUCAUCAUGUGUCAGAAGGGGCGGACUCGCCCCUCUGGACCACUGGAUGUCUCUCAUGUUAUGUGGAACGAGGUGUACUCCGCUGUCUUCCACCGUAAGAUCCCAAUCUAUGGUCCGUAUCUGUUUUACUUCAUCAAGAUGACUUGGGCAAACACCUCAACUACACCUGCUGCCCAGCUGUUGAGUUUCUUGCUCCUAAUUGGAUUCGACAUGAGCCCAUCAAACUGCGCCAGAAGGACAAAUGGGCAAACACCUCAAGUACACCUGCUGCCCCUAGGGAUUCUGAUUAGGAUGUGGCUGCUGCUGAGGAUGAGGCUGUUCCAGAGUCACACAUGCCUUCCUCUACCGAGCCAUCAUGGGCCAAAAAGCUCACCAACAGGAUGAAUACCUUGUUUUGCAUGCAGGCCAAGGGACAGUACAUGACCCAUGUCACUCAGAAGGAGAGUCAUCAGCGUGGCAAGAUGAUCACGAGGAAGCUUGACAUGCACAUCUCUAGUGGAUCUGAGCGAGAGAUCACCCCGGAGGCUGAGUGGAUGUAGAAGAACAAGCUGCAGUGGGCUGCGUUUGACCAGGGCUCUGAGGAGGAGACAAACNNNNNNNNNNNNNNNNNNNNNNNNNNNNNNNNNNNNNNNNNNNNNNNNNNNNNNNNNNNNNNNNNNNNNNNNNNNNNNNNNNNNNNNNNNNNNNNNNNNNAAGCCAAUGAUCUCAUUGAGACUCAUGAGGAUACUAUCUCCAAGAUGCAAGAACAUAGUCAUGAUUACGCCGAUGAGAUAACAGAACUAUCCAUUCCUCUAGAAGAAGUGCUCACUCCUCCCUUAAGGAGUCUCAUGAUCAACUCCAAGUAAAACUAACCAAGGAGAUUUCUAAUUGUCAUCCGUUUGUUUUAAUUGAUAAUGCUUGUGAUACUAAACCUUGUUGUGAGCAUGUGCAUCUUGUGGAGGAGAAUGCCAAGUUGAAAGAACAGCUUGAGAAGGGCCUCGUUACGUGCAUCUAAGGAGAGAAAAAUCUAAAUGAUCUUUUGAGUAAUCAAAAGGAAGUUGCAGGAAAGAAAGGACUUGGGUUUGCAACCAAGUCUAAGAAGAGAAGGAAAAACAAGACCAAGCCAUCUUCCUCUCUUAAGGACAUCCUUGUCAAAGAACAAGGAAGGGGGUGACAAUGUCAAGAAGUGCAAAACCACUCCCACCAACACUGCCGGCGAUUUUAACCCCUCUUAUGUUUUAUGCCGUGCUAGUGAUGGGCAUGUUUAUGCCAAAUUUGUUGGUUCUUAUUAUGAGUACAUCGAGUAGGAUAUUUGGGUUCCUAAGACCCUUGUUUCUAACAUCAAAGGACCCAUUCAAAAAUGGGUACCUAAAUCCAAGCAUUGAUCUCUUGCAGGGGUUUGCUUCCGGUGGAGUGUCAUGGUUGCUCGAUAGUGGAGCAACAAAUCAUAUGACCGAGAGCAAGGACUUGGUGGUGGAUGUGCAUCCAAUUCCAUCUAUGCCCACCCAUGUACAAUUUGUUGAUGCCUCAACAUCUAAGGUAAUGGGAUUUGGUAAGGUGGUCAACUCUCAAGAUUUAUCUANNNNNNNNNNNNNNNNNNNNNNNNNNNNNNNNCUCUCAAGAUUUAUCUAUAGAGAAGGUCAUGCUUGUUGAGUCCCUUGCAUACAAUUUGCUUUUCGUUCGUCAUCUUGCAAUUAUGGGCUUUGUCACAUUAUUUAAUCUUGAUACCGUGGCCCUUUUGUGGAGCAAGACUCCUAAAGUAGACUUUGUUGGAUAUGUCGAGAAUGGUCUCUAUGUAGUGAACUUUUUGGAGCGNNNNNNNNNNNNNNNNNNNNNNNNNNNNNNNNNNNNNNNNNNNNNNNNNNNNNNNNNNNNNNNNNNNNNNNNNNNNNNNNNNNNNNNNNNNNNNNNNNNNUGGGGAGACACACCAGCCCUUAGUGGGCUGGUGGGACAGCCCACAAGGGCCCUACGCGCCAAGGAGAAGAAAAUCAAGAGAGAAAAAAAAGGAGGAGGUGGGAAGGAAGGGGGACUCCCUCCCACCAAACCUAGUCCAACUCGGUUUGGGGGGGGAGAGUCCUCCCCCUUGGACUCGGCCGACCCCCUUGGGGCUCCUUGAGCCCCAAGGCAAGGUCCCCUCCCUCCCACCUAUAUAUACGGAGGUUUUACGGCUGAUUUGAGACGACCUUUACACUAUAUACGGAGGUUUUAGGGCUGAUUUGAGACGACUUUUCUCACGGCUGCCCGACCACAUACCUCCAUAGUUUUUCCUCUAGAUCGCGUUUCUGCGGAGCUCGGGCGGAGCCCUGCUGAGACAAGAUCAUCACCAACCUCCGGAGCGCCGUCACUCUGCUGGAGAACUCUUCUACCUCUCCGUCUCUCUUGCUGGAUCAAGACGGCCGAGAUCAUCGUCGAGCUGUACGUGUGCUGAACGCGGAGGUGCCGUCCGUUCGGUACUAGAUCGUGGGACUGAUCGCGGGAUUGUUCACGGGGCGGAUCGAGGGACAUGAGGACGUUCCACUACAUCAACCGCGUUCUCUAACGCUUUUGCUGUACGAUCUACAAGGGUACGUAGAUCACUCAUCCCCUCUCGUAGAUGGACAUCACCAUGAUAGGUUUCGUGCGCGUAGGAAAUUUUUUGUUUCCCAUGCGACGUUCCCCAACAGUGGCACCAUGAGCUAGGUUCAUGCGUAGAUGUCUUCUCGAGUAGAACACAAAAGGUUUUGUGGGAGGUGAUGUGCGUUUUGCUGGCCUCCUUAGUCUUUUCUUGAUUCCGCGGUAUUGUUGGAUUGAAGCGGCUUGGACCGACAUUAUUCGUACGCUUACGAGAGACUAGUUUCAUCGUUACGAGUAACUCCGUUGCUCAAAGAUGACUGGCAAGUGUAAGUUUCUCCAACUUUAGUUGAAUCGGAUUUGACCGAGGAGGUCCUUGGAUGAGGUUAAAUAGCAACUCAUAUAUCUCCGCUGUGGUGUUUGCGUAAGUAAGAUGCGAUCCUACUAGAUACCCAUGGUCACCACGUAAAACAUGCAACAACAAAAUUAGAGGACGUCUAACUUGUUUUUGCAGGGUAUGCUUGUGAUGUGAUAUGGCCAAUGAUGUGAUGUGAUAUAUUGGAUGUAUGAGAUGAUCAUAUUGUAAUAGAAAUAUCGACUUGCACGUCGAUGGUACGGCAACCGGCAGGAGCCAUAGGGUUGUCUUUAUACUAACGUUUGUGCUUGCAGAUGCGUUUACUAUUUUGGUAGGAUGUAGCUUUAGUAGUAAUAGCAUGAGUAGCACGACAACCCCGAUGGCAACACGUUGAUGGAGAUCAUGGUGUGGCGCCGGUGACAAGAAGAUCGUGCCGGUGCUUUGGNNNNNNNNNNNNNNNNNNNNNNNNNNNNNNNNNNNNNNNNNNNNNNNNNNNNNNNNNNNNNNNNNNNNNNNNNNNNNNNNNNNNNNNNNNNNNNNNNNNNGCAUCGACGUAACCUUUUACGGCGAGCUCUUCGUCACCUCCAUACACGAGAAACAUCUCCUUAGUCCUUUUCAGGUACUUUAGGAUAUUCUUGACCGCUGUCCAGUGAUCCACUCCUGGAUUACUCUGGAACCUACCUGCCAUACUUAUGGCCAGGCUAACAUUCGGUCUAGUGCACAGCAUCGCAUACAUGAUAGAACCUAUGGCUGAAGCAUAGGGGACGGAGCGCAUAUGCUCUCUAUCUUCAUCAGUUGCUGGGCACUGAGUCUUACUCAAUCUUGUACCUUGUAAAACUGGCAAGAACCCUUUCUUGGACUGUUCCAUUUUGAACCUUUUCAAAACUUUAUCAAGGUAUGUGCUUUGUGAAAGUCCUAUCAGGCGUUUUGAUCUAUCCCUAUAGAUCUUAAUGCCUAGAAUGUAAGCAGCUUCUCCUAGGUCCUUCAUAGAGAAACUUUUAUUCAAGUAACCUUUUAUGCUCUCCAAAAGCUCUAUGUUGUUUCCAAUCAGUAAUAUGUCAUCCACAUAUAAUAUUAGAAACGCCACAGAGCUCCCACUCACUUUCUUGUAAAUACAAGAUUCUCCAACCACUUGUAUAAACCCAAAUGCUUUGAUCACCUCAUCAAAGCGUUUGUUCCAACUCCGAGAUGCUUGCACCAGUCCAUAAAUGGAUCGCUGGAGCUUGCACACUUUGUCAGCAUUUUUAGGAUCGACAAAACCUUCGGGUUGCAUCAUAUACAACUCUUCCUUAAGGAAACCGUUAAGGAACGCCGUUUUGACAUCCAUCUGCCAGAUUUCAUAAUCGAAAAAUGCAGCUAUUGCUAACAUGAUUCUGACGGACUUAAGCAUUGCCACGGGAGAGAAAGUCUCAUCGUAGUCAAUUCCUGGAACUUGUGAAAAACCCUUUGCCACAAGUCGAGCUUUAUAAACGGUCACAUUACCGUCAGCGUCCGUCUUCUUCUUAAAGAUCCAUUUGUUCUGAAUAGCCUUGCGGCCCUCAGGUAGUAUCUCCAAAGUCCACACUUUGUUCUCAUACAUGGAUCCUAUCUCGGAUUUCAUGGCUUAUAGCCAUUUGUUGGAAUCUGGGCCCACCAUUGCUUCUUCAUAAUUUGCAGGUUCAUUGUUGUCUAACAACAUGAUUGAUAAGACGGGAUUACCGUACCACUCUGGAGCAGCGCGUGAUCUCGUCGACCUGCGUGGUUCAACAGAAACUUGAACUGGAGUUUCAUGAUCAUCAUCAUUAACUUCCUCCUCAACCGGCGUCGCAAUGACAGAGGUUUCCCCUUGCCCUGCGCCACCAUCCAGAGGGAUGAGAGGUUCGACAACCUCGUCAAGUUCUAUCUUCCUCCCACUCAAUUCUCUCGAGAGAAACUCCUUCUCGAGAAAAGUUCCGUUCUUAGCAACAAACACUUUGCCCUCGGAUUUGAGAUAGAAGGUGUACCCAACUGUCUCUUUUGGGUAACCUAUGAAGACACAUUUUUCCGCUUUGGGUUCCAGCUUUUCAGGCUGAAGCUUUUUGACAUAAGCAUCACAUCCCCAAACUUUAAGAAACGACAACUUUGGUCUUUUGCCAUACCACAGUUCGUAUGGUGCCGUCUCAACGGAUUUUGAUGGUGCCCUAUUUAAAGUGAAUGCAGCUGUUUCUAAUGCAUAACCCCAAAAUGAUAACGGCAAAUCAGUAAGAGACAUCAUAGAUCGCACCAUCUCUAACAAAGUACGAUUACGACGUUCGGACACACCAUUACGCUGUGGUGUUCCAGGCGGUGUUAACUGCGAAACAAUUCCACAUUGUCUUAAGUGAGCACCAAACUCGAAACUCAGAUAUUCACCCCCACGAUCAGACCGUAGGAACUUGAUCUUCUUGUUACGAUGAUUUUCCACUUCACUCUGAAAUUGCUUGAACUUUUCAAAUGUUUCAGACUUGUGCUUCAUCAAGUAGACAUAACCAUAUCUACUUAAAUCGUCAGUGAAGGUGAGGAAAUAACGAUAUCCGCCGCGUGCCUCUACGCUCAUUGGACCACACACAUCGGUAUGUAUGAUUUCCAACAAGUCACUUGCACGCUCCAUUGUUCCGGAGAACGGAGUUUUAGUCAUCUUGCCCAUAAGGCAUGGUUCGCACGUGUCAAGUGAAUCGAAGUCAAGUGACUCCAAAAGUCCAUCAGCAUGGAGUUUCUUCAUGCGCUUUACACCAAUAUGACCUAAACGGCAGUGCCACAAAAAUAUGGCGCUAUCAUUGUUUACUCUAACUCUUUUGGUCUCAAUGUUAUGUAUAUGCGUAUCGCUAUCAAGAUUCAAUAUGAACAAUCCUCUCACAUUCGGUGCAUGACCAUAAAAGAUGUUACUCAUAGAAAUAGAACAACCAUUAUUCUCAGACUUAAAAGAGUAACCGUCUCGCAAUAAACAAGAUCCAGAUAUAAUGUUCAUGCUCAACGCAGGCACUAAGUAACAAUGAUUUAAGUUCAUCACUAAUCCCGAUGGUAGCUGAAGUGACACUGUGCCGACGGCGAUUGCAUCAACCUUGGAACCAUUUCCUACGCGCAUCGUCACUUCGUCUUUUGCCAGCCUUCGCCUAUUCCGCAUUUCCUGUUUCGAGUUGCAAAUAUGAGCAACAGAACCGGUAUCAAAUACCCAGGCACUACUACGAGAGCUAGUUAAGUACACAUCAAUAACAUGUAUAUCAAAUAUACCUGAUUUUUCUUUGCCUGCCUUCUUAUCUGCCAGAUACUUGGGGCAAUUGCGCUUCCAGUGACCCAUACCCUUGCAAUAGAAGCACUCUGUUUCAGGCUUAGGUCCAGCCUUGGGUUUCUUCGGCGGAUUGGCAACAGGCUUGCCGCUCUUCAUCGAAUUGCCCUUCUUGCCUUUGCCGUUUCUCUUGAGACUAGUGGUCUUGCUCACCAUCAACUCUUGAUGCUCUUUACGGAGUUCAGACUCUGCGACUUUCAGCAUCGCAAACAACUCGCCGGGAGACUUGUUCAUCCCUUGCAUGUUGUAGUUCAACACAAAGCCUUUAUAGCUUGGCGGCAGUGAUUGAAGGAUUCUAUCAGUGAUAGCUUCUUGCGGGAGUUAAAUCCCCAGUUCAGCUAGACGGUUUCAGUACCCAGACAUUUUGAGCACAUGUUCACUGACAGACGAGUUUUCCUCCAUCUUGCAAGCAUAGAAUUUAUCGGAGGUCUCAUACCUCUCGAUCCGGGCGUUCUUCUGAAAGAUAAACUUCAACUCCUGGAACAUCUCAAAUGCUCCAUGACGCUCAAAGCAACGUUAAAGUCCCGGUUCUAAGCCAUACAAGACUGCACAUUGAACUAUUGAGUAGUCCUCCUUACGCGCUAACCAAGCGUUCUUAACAUCCUGAUCAGCCGUAGCGGGUGGUUCAUCUCCUAGCGCAGCAUUAAGGACAUAAUCCUUCUUCCCAGCUUGUAAGAUUAGCUUAAGAUUACGAGCCCAGUCUACAAAGUUGCUUCCAUCAUCUUUCAACUUAGCUUUCUCUAGGAACGUAUUAAAAUUCAGGAUGAUACUUGCGUGAGCCAUGAUCUACAACACAAAUAUAUUCAAAGUGGACUUAGACUAUGUUCAAGAUAAUUAGAGUUCAACUUAAUCAAAUUAUAUGCUAAACUCCCACUCAAAAAAUACAUCUCUCUAGUCAUUUGAGUGGUUCAUGAUCCAUUUACACUAUCCCAAGUCCGAUCAUCACGUGAGUUGAGUAUAGUUUCAGUGGUAAGCAUCACUAUGCUAAUCAUAUCAACUAUAUGAUUCAUGAUCGACCUUUCGGUCUCAUGUGUUCCGAGGCCAUGUCUGCACAUGCUAGGCUCGUCAAGCUUAACCCGAGUGUUCCGCGUGCGCAACUGUUUUGCACCCAUUGUAUGUGAACGUUGAGUCUAUCACACCCGAUCAUCACGUGGUGUCUCGAAACGACGAACUGUAGCAACGGUGCACAGUCGGGGAGAACACAAUUUCGUCUUGAAAUUUUAGUGAGAGAUCACCUCAUAAUGCUACCGUCGUUCUAAGCAAAAUAAGGUGCAUAAAAGGAUUAACAUCACAUGCAAUUCAUAAGUGACAUGAUAUGGCCAUCAUCAUGUGCUUCUUGAUCUCCAUCACCAAAGCACCAACACGAUCUUCUUGUCAUCGGCGCCACACCAUGAUCAUCCAUCAACGUGUUGCCAUCGGGGUUGUCGUGCUACUUAUGCUAUUACUACUAAAGCUACAUCCUAGCAAAAUAAUAAACGCAUCUGCAAGCACAAACGUUAGUAUAAAGACAACCCUAUGGCUCCUGCCGGUUGCCGUACCAUCGACGUGCAAGUCGAUAUUUCUAUUACAACAUGAUCAUCUCAUACAUCCAAUAUAUCAUAUCACAUCAUUGGCCAUAUCACAUCACAAUCAUACCCUGCAAAAACAAGUUAGACGUCCUCUAAUUUUGUUGUUGCAUGUUUUACGUGGUGACCAAGGGUAUCUAAUAGGAUCGCAUCUUACUUACGCAAACACCACAACGGAGAUAUAUGAGUUGCUAUUUAACCUCAUCCAAGGACCUCCUCGGUCAAAUCCGAUUCAACUAAAGUUGGAGAAACCGUCACUUGCCAGUCAUCUUUGAGCAAAGGGGGUUACUCGUAACGAUGAAACCAGUCUCUCGUAAGCGUACGAGUAAUGUUGGUCCAAGCCGCUUCAAUCCAACAAUACCGCGGAAUCAAGAAAAGACUAAGGAGGGCAGCAAAACGCACAUCACCGCCCACAUAAACUUUUGUGUUCUACUCGAGAAGACAUCUACGCAUGAACCUAGCUCAUGAUGCCACUGUUGGGGAACGUUUCAUGGAAAAAAAAAAUCCUACGCGCACGAAGACCUAUCAUGGUGAUGUCCAUCUACGAGAGGGGAUGAGUGAUCUACGUACCCUUGUAGAUCGUACAGCAGAAGUGUUAAAGAACGCGGUUGAUGUAGUGGAACGUCCUCACGUCCAUCGAUCCGCCCAGCGAACAAUCCCGCGAUCAGUCCCACGAUCUAGUACCGAACGGACGGCACCUCCGCGUUCAGCACACGUACAGCUCGACGAUGAUCUCGGCCUUCUUGAUCCAGCAAGAGAGACGGAGAGGUAGAAGAGUUCUCCGGCAGCGUGACGGCGCUCCGGAGGUUGGUGAUGAUCUUGUCUCAGCAGGGCUCCGCCCGAGCUCCGCAGAAACGCGAUCUAGAGGAAAAACUAUGGAGGUAUGUGGUCGGGCAGCCGUGAGAAAGUCGUCUCAAAUCUGCCCUAAAAGCUCCAUAUAUAUAGGAGGAGGGAGGGGGACCUUGCCUUGGGGUCCAAGGGACCCUCAAGGGGUCGGCCGAGCCAAGGGGGGGAGGACUCCCCCCCCAAACCGAGUUGGACUUGGUUUGGUGGGAGGAGUCCCCCUCCCUUCCCACUUCCUCCCUCUUUUUUUUUUAUUUUCCUUUGAUUUCUUUUUCUUGGCGCAUAGGCCCACUUGGGGCUGUCCCACCAGCCCUCUAAGGGCUGGUGUGUCUCCCCAAAGCCUAUGGGCUUCCCCGGGGUGGGUUGCCCCCCCCCCCCCGGGGAACUCCCGGAACCCCUUCGUCCUUCCCGGUACAUUCCCGGUAACUCCGAAAACCUUCCGGUAAUCAAAUGAGGUCAUCCUAUAUAUCAAUCUUCGUUUCCGGACCAUUCCGGAAACCCUCGUGACGUCCGUGAUCUCAUCCGGUACUCCGAACAACAUUCAGUAACCAACCAUAUAACUCAAAUACGCAUAAAACAACGUCGAACCUUAAGUGUGCAGACCCUGCGGGUUCGAGAACUAUGUAGACAUGACCCGAGAGACUCCUCGGUCAAUAUCCAAUAGCGGGACCUGGAUGCCCAUAUUGGAUCCUACAUAUUCUACGAAGAUCUUAUCGUUUGAACCUCAGUGCCAAGGAUUCGUAUAAUCCCGUAUGUCAUUCCCUUUGUCCUUCGGUAUGUUACUUUCCCGAGAUUCGAUCGUCAGUAUCCGCAUACCUAUUUCAAUCUCGUUUACCGGCAAGUCUCUUUACUCGUUCCGUAAUACAAGAUCCCACAACUUACACUAAGUUACAUUGCUUGCAAGGCUUAUGUGUGAUGCUGUAUUACCGAGUGGGCCCCGAGAUACCUCUCCGUCACACGGAGUGACAAAUCCCUGUCUUGAUCCAUACUAACUCAACUAACACCUUCGGAGAUACCUGUAGAGCAUCUUUAUAGUCACCCAGUUACGUUGCAACGUUUGAUACACACAAAGCAUUCCUCCGGUGUCAGUGAGUUAUAUGAUCUCAUGGUCAUAGGAAUAAAUACUUGACACGCAGAAAACAGUAGCAACAAAAUGACACGAUCAACAUGCUACGUCUAUUAGUUUGGGUCUAGUCCAUCACGUGAUUCUCCCAAUGACGUGAUCCAGUUAUCAAGCAACAACACCUUGUUCAUAAUCAGAAGACACUGACUAUCAUCGAUCAACUGGCUAGCCAACUAGAGGCAUGCUAGGGACGGAGUUUCGUCUAUGUAUCCACACAUGUAAAUGAGUCUUCAUUCAAUACAAUUAUAGCAUGGAUAAUAAACUAUUAUCUUGAUACAGGAAUUAUAAUAAUAACUAUACAUUUAUUAUUGCCUCUAGGGCAUAAUUCCAACAUAAACGCACCACAAUGCUAAUUAUGCUACUUGAAAGUUAGAGGCUCAAUAGUAAUGGGCCGUACGCCAAGACAAGUAGACCGUUUAUUCAUCAGCAUCUACUUACUAAUCAUCCACCUUGAGAUAUCUAUCCAGAACAUCUCGCUGGUAUUAAGUUGCGAGCCCCACCCAAAGUGUAAACUCAAAGCAACGGACAACUGCAUUAACGAACUAUGCAUAAGGUACACAAUCCUUGCAACUGUGGUCACAAGCACCGUUGUUUUCUCCCUGGUGGCAACACCACAUCCCCUAGUCUCAUGUUUCUGUGACUCAAGCUAGACAUCAGGGGGCACGAACCCACAAUCAUGCAUAACGCUCCCUCUUGGAGUAACAAUCUACUACUCGGCCAUAGCAAUAAAGAGCAAUAGAGAACAUGCAUGAAUCACUAAGGGACAUAAUAUAAAAGGAUAAUCAAAUAUAUAACUCAUAAAAAUCUGAACAUAAUCUAUCGGAUCCCAACAAACCGAGCAAUAGCAAUAGCAAGAAAAUUACAUAGAUGCCUUGAUCAUGAUUGGAGAGAAGACAUCACAUAGCUACUGGUCAUGGACUCAUGGUCCAAGGAGGACUACUCACGGCACGCCCGGGAAGCGUCCAUGGCAGUGGAGAAGCUCCCGGAGGUCAAUCCUCCCUCUGGCAGGGUGUCGGGAAGAGUACUCCUGACCCUCCCGAUCUCAGAGGCGUUGCGGCAACGGAACGAUGGAGAAAUUAGCGAUUCUGGAUGUUGUGGAAGGGUUUCCUCGCGGAGGAGUAAAUAUAGGCCAAAGGAGGACGUCAGAAGAGGUGGGGUCCACCCAGGCGGCUUGUGGGCGCGGCCAGGGGCCAGGCCGCGCCGGGAGGUCGUCUGGGCAGGCCCUGGCCCAUCUUCGAUGAACUGGAAGCUUCCAUUACGCUGUUUUUAUAUAUUUUUCUCGGGAUUUUUGGUGCUCCGGAAAAUUGGAUAAAAGCCCUUGCAAAAAAGACAUUAGCACACAGAAACUGGCACUGGCUGCACUGAGUUAGUAGGUUAGUCCAAAUAUGUGUAAAAAGAUAUAAAAGUUUAGCAAAACAUAUAACAAUGUCACCCAAAAGAUCAUCAAACAAGCAGAAAUUAUAGAUAUGUUUGGGACGUAUCAAUGAGCUAGUUUAAUAGAGGCGCACUAGGGAGACGGUGUUGUCUAUGUAUCCACACAUGUAUUUAUUAUGAUAAUAACUAAUUUAUUAUUUCCUCUAGGGCAUAUUUCCAACAAACAUACCCUACAAAAGAAAGUUAGACGUCCUCUACUUUGUUGUUGCAAGUUUUACGUGGCUGCUAUGGGAAACUAUCAAGAACCGUUCUUACCUACGCAAAGCCAAAAUGGUGACAAUCAAGUUGCAUUUUAACCUUAUACAAGGACCCCUUUUGUCGAAGCCGAUUCAACUAAAGUUGGAGAUACAGAUACCCACCAUCCACCUUUAUGCAAAAAAAAUUGCAUGUCAAUAGGUGGAACCAGUCUCUUGUGUGAGGACAAGUAAGGUUCGUCAGAGCCGAUUCAUCCCAAAAUUCUACUGAAUCAAAAUAAGACGUGGGAUGCAAGAAAUUUGAACAUAAACGCCCACAAGUUCUUUGUGUUCUACUCGUGCAUAUCAUCUAUGGAUAGACCUAGCUCAUGAUGCCACUAUUGGGGACCGUUGCAUGGGAAACAAAAAAUUUACUAUGAACUCCCAAGAUAUAUAUAUAGAGAUGCAUCACAACAAGAGCGGAGAGUGUGUCUACGUACCCUCGUAGACCAUUAAGCAUAACCAUAUAUUAUGUGGUUGAUGUGGUCGUACUCUUCAUGAUCCAACCUGAUCCAGCGCCAAACACACGACACCUCUGUGUUCAGCACACGUGCGGCUCGACGAUGUCUCUGUCUCCUUGAUCUAGCAGGUGAAGGCGGACAAGUAGAUGGGAUCUUGACCAUCACGACUAUGUCGUGGAGAUGGUGGUGGAGUAGUGCCGACAGGGUUUCGUUGUGCGCUACUGAAACUAUGAAUGGAGGAUCAACAAAGUAACGGGGGAGAGGGGGCACCAAGGGGCUGGUGUGUCCUCUUGGGGCGCCCCUCCCCUCUAUAUAUAGGUGGAGUGGCGUGGUGGCAAGCCCUCCAAGCCCUAGGGGCGAACCAAGGGGGAGGAGUUGGACACCUAGUCCAACUCCCUCCUUUCCAGACACGGGUGGACUUUUCCACCUUUCCCAGCCGCAUGGGCUUUGAGGGACUUGUGCGCUUGGCCCGAUUAGGCCACGGAUCCUCCCCUCAGUUCAUGUCGACCCUUGGGACAUGGUGGAGUCCUUGGUGGACUUCGGGACUCCUCCAGAAGUUUUAGGAACCUUCUCGAAGCUUCCUUCUACAAUACGAAAAAAACUAAAACUUUUCCCGGAACCCUGAAAACAACUUUUCAUAUAUAAAUCUUUACCUUCGGACCAUUUCGGAGCUCCUAGUCAUGUUUGUGAUCUCAUACGAGACUCCAAACAAUAUUCGGUCACCAAUAUACAUAACCCAAUAAUAUUAUAUCAGCAUCGAACGUUAGGCGUGUGGAUCCUAUGGGUUUGAGAAUCAUGUAGACAUGAUCGAGACACCUCUCCGGUCAAUAACCAAUAGCGGGACCUCGAUUUCCAUAUUGGUUCCUAGAUAUUGCACGAAGAUCUUCAGCGAUCGAUCCAUGAUGCCAAGGAUUCAAUCAAUCUCGUAUGCAGUUCCCUUUGUCUAUUGGUAUGUUACUUGCGCGAGAUUAGAUCAUCGAUAUCUCCAUACCUAGUUCAGUCUCUUUACCAGCAGGUCUCUUUACUUGUUUCAUAAUACGAGAUACCGCGACUAACUCCUUAGUCACAUUUCUUGCAAGCUUCUUGUGAUGUUGUAUUACCCAGAGGGCCGAGAGAUACCUCUCCGUCAUACGGCGUGACAAAUCCAAAUCUCGAUCCAUGCCAACCCAACAGACACCUUUGGUGAUGCAUGUAGAGUACCCUUAUGAUCACCCAAUUAUGAAGUGAUGUUUGAUACACACAAGGCAUUCCUCCGGUGUCACGGAGUUGCAUGGUCUCAUGGUCUUAGAAAUAGAUACUUGACAUGAACAAAGCGAUAGCGGCAAACUAAGUGAUAUGAUCAAAUGUUAUGCUUACGGUUAGGUCUUGUCCAUCAUAUCAUUCUCCUAAUGAUGUGAACCCAUUAUCAAAUGACAGCUCAUGUGUAUGGUUAGGAAACCUUAAUGAUCCUUGAUCAACGAGCUAGUCUAGUAGAGGCUCACUAGGGACACAGUGUUGUUUAUAUAUCCACACAUGUAUUUAAGUUUUCGGUCAAUACAAUUCUAGCAUGGAUAAUAAAUGUUUAUCAUGAACAAGGAAAUAUGAUAAUAACCAAUUUAGUAUUGCAUCUAGGGCAUAUUUCCAAUAGUACUACCGUGAUACCGAGCGGUACUACCGCAGAUCAUAGAAAAACUGUCGUGGCACUAAAAUUGCCAUAACUUUCACAUACGAGCUCCGAAUUGAGCAGACUCAAGCUUGUUGGAUAGAGUACAACAAGUACUAUCCAAAAGUGACAAUAGAAAAAUGAUGAACCAUCGAAAACUUGAUAGAAGAUUCGUAUGAACUUCGUUUUCGAUGAACCCAAGCUUGUCAUGAAGAUAACCAUAAGCACUAAGACCCACAAAGAUAAAAGCCAAACAAGAAUAAAGAAAGAUGAUGAUGCCAAUAAUGCAAUAGUUUGAUCUCUCUAUGAAUGAUAAGAUCAAGCUACUUACUUGAGAGCGCCCCUUGAAAGUACAACAAUCGAUCCUAUAACCCGGCCUCCCAACUACCACCAUGACAUCGCUAAAGUAGAAAAUGUAUCAAGGGCAAACAUUUGACUUGAGCAUAGUCCACUUGAUCUAGAUGAUGAUGAUCUUGUCCUCCUCAAGAUGGACGACAUUUCUUGAUUGCGUCGGCUCGAUGAAGACUAGUAGAUUGCUCCCUCAUAGUCCACUAUGGGUGAGAAAUCUACUAGUCUUCCAUCUUGGGUGAGCAAUACACUUCUUUCUUGAAGUCCAUUUCUUGGUUUCAAGGAGUUUAUGUGAUGACCAAGGUGGUAUUCUAGGAUUUAUCCAAAGAUUGGUCAUGUGAGAGUUGAGCUUAUUGCAAGCAUGUCUUAAAGAAGUGUAUUGUGUGAACAUUCAUGUUUACCUUCAAGACAUCAUCUUUAUAGAGAGAAGGUAAGUCUCAAGGUUGAUCAAGACUAAGUCAAAGAGUGGAUCAAGUUGAUCAACACACCAAGCGUACAUGAUGUACCAAGAGGGAUCAAGUGAUCCCAUGGUACGGUAAGCAUUGCCCAUUAUGCUUUGUGUACUAACCCAUGGUCUAUGUGAGAGUUCUGUGUGGGGUUAGGUAUGUGUCCAUGGGAUUGCGUCAAGAGGAAGAUCUCAUACAACCGAUGGAGGAUGCCAUAAAGUGGUGAUCUUCAUCAAGUUUGUGGUGUGCAAUUUCAAGUGGAGCUUCACGAAGAGAUCAUGCUUGAAACUUGUUGUCCAUUCUGGUGACAAUGGACUUGUGAAGAUGUGUCGGAGAGUGGCUCACUGAUACGUCUCCAACGCAUCUAUAAUUUUUUAUGGUUUCAUGCUAUUAUCUUGUCAAACUUUGGAUGUUUUGCAUGCUUUUUAUUUAUUUUCUGGGACUAACUUAUUAACUCAGUGCCAAGUGCGAGUUCCUGUUUUUUCCAUGUUUUUGACCCCUUUCAGAGAGAUUUUGAAACGGAGUCCAAACGGAAGAAAAUCCUCGAAAAUAUAUUUUUUGGAACGGAAGAAGAUCGGAGAACUUGGGAGACAAGCCAGAGGAGCUCCAGGGGCCCCACAAGCCCCCACCCCGCGGCCAGGGGGCGCGCCAUCCAGGCGUGUGGGCCUCGUGGAGGUCCCCUGACCUAGAUCUUUUGCCUAUAUAAUCACAUAAAUUCCAGAAAAAAUCAAGAGAUCAUCGCAAUCGCUUUCCGCCGCCGCAAGCUUCUGUCUCUGCAAGAUCCCAUCUGGGGCACAUCCCGGUGCCCUGCCGGAGGGGGGAUUCGGAUACGGAAGGCUUCUUCAUCAACACCAUGACCUCUUCGAUGAUGCGUGAGUAGUUCACCAUAGACCUACGGGUCCAUAGCUAGUAACUAGAUGGCUUCUUCUCUCUCUUGGAUCUUCAAUACAAAGUUCUCCAUGAUCUUCAUGGAGAUCUAUCCAAUGUAAUCUUCUUUUGCGAUGUGUUUGUCGAGAUCCGAUGAAUUGUGGAUUUAUGAUCAAAUUAUGUAUGAAUCUUAUUUGAGUUUCUUCUGAUCUCUCUUAUGCAUGAUUUCAUAUCCUUGUAAUUCUCUUUGAGUUGUGGGUUUUGUCUGGCCAACUAGAUCUAUGAUUCUUGCAAUGGGAGAAGUGCUUGGUUUUGGGUUCAUACCGUGCGGUGACCUCACCCAGUGACAGAAGGGGUAGCGAGGCACGCAUCGUGUUGUUGGCAUCAAGGGUUAAAUAUGGGGUUUUCAUCAUUGGUUUGAGAUUAUCCCUCUACAUAAUGGCAUCUUGCUUAAAGUGUUACUAUGUUCGUCAUGAACUCAAUACACUAGAUGCAUGCUAGAUAGCGGUCGAUGUGUGGAGUAAUAGUAGUAGAUGCAGAAAGUAUCGGUCUACUUGUCUCGGACGUGAUGCCUAUAUGCAUGAUCAUUGCCUUAGAUAUCGUCAUGACUUUGCGCGGUUCUAUCAAUUGCUCGACAGUAAUUUGUUCACCCACCGUGAUAUUUGCUAUUAUGAGAGAAGCCUCUAGUGAACACUAUGGCCCCUAGGGUCUACUCCACACCAUAUUUUCAGCCUUACACUUUUUAUUUCGUUGCACUUUCCGCCUUCAUAUCUCACUUUGCAAACAAUCUUGAAGGGAUUGACAACCCCUUUGAAGCGUUGGGUGCAAGCUUGUUUGUGUUUGCGCAAGUACUUUGGACUUGACGAGGCCCUCCUUCUGGAUCGAUACCUUGGUUCUCAAACUGAGGGAAAUACUUACUGCUCCUGUGCGGCAUCACCCUUUCCUCUUCAAGGAAAAACUGACACAGACCAGAAAAGUAACAAGAAGAAUUCCUAAGCGCCACAGAAGGACUUUUGUUGCUGCAUCACUCACCCAUAGUGGAGUAUGAGGGAGCAAUCUACUAGUCUUCAUCAAGUCGGCGCAAUCAAGAAAGGUGGUCCAUAUUAAGGAGGACAAGAUCGUCAUCAUCUAGCUCAAGCGGACUAUGUGCAAGGCAAAGGUUUGCCCUUGAUAGGUUUUCUAUUUUACUUGUCUCAUGAUGGUAGUUGGGAGACCGGUUUAUAGAAUCAAUUGUCGUGCUAUCAAGGGGGGAUCUCAAGUGAGUAGCUUGGUUGUAUCAUUCAUUGAGAUCUCAAACCAUUUGCAUCCUUGCAUCAUAUUUAUUGGAUCUUGUUUGGUGCUUCUCUUUGUGAGUUUUAGAGCUUAUGGUCAUCUACAUGAUAAGCUCAAGUUCAUCAAAAACAGACUUCAUAUGCAGCUUCUAUGAUGUUUUUGAAGUUGGAGUUUAUGUCGGUGCUUCUCUAGAUGGAGGUUUAAAUCCUCUAUAUCAUAGGCUUACUCCCCUUGCCUCUACUUAAUAUAACUAGCUUGAGAUUGCUCAAUUCGGAGCUCAUUUGCAGAAGUUAUGGCAGUUCUCUUGUUCAUGCAUUCAUCUGUUUCUUAUGUUCUGUUCGUGAAGGAAACAAGUGGUUGUACCAUGCUCGUCAGCGGUAGUACCGCCUACAGCCUAAGAGGUAGUACAACUCUGAGUAAGCGGUAUUACCGUCCCCGGGCAGUAGUACCACUACCCAAUACCGUGCGCUGUAUCGCUGCAGUGAAGUCUCAACUUUUCGUCUCGGACUAGGCGGUUGUUGUGACGGUAGUACAACGUGGUAGUAUCACCUAUAAGCGGUAGUACCGCCCGCCACUACCAAUUAUCUACCUCCUAACCUUCUAGACUCAGAACUCUCAGCGGAGCACUGCCGCCCGAGCGGUAGCACCACUUGUGUGCGGGCUGAGGGUAUAACAGUUGUAUUUUCCCCUCCUAUAAAAGGGGGUCUUCUUCCCCAAUGGAUUGUAUCCUUUGAGCUUGUGUGCCCCCCCCACCAUUGACCUUCUUCGACCUUGUUAUCUUGCAAUCCCUCUAAUGAUUCUUGUUAUUUAUUGAGGGAAAAGAGAGAGUAGAUCUAGAUCUACGUUUCCACGAAUCACUUUCUCCUCUAUGUGAGGGGAACCCCUUGGAUCUCGAUCUUGGAGUUCUUUGCGAGCUCCUUGUUCUUCCUCUCAUAUUCCUCCAUAGCUUUUGUUGUUGUGGUGGGAUUUGAGUGUGAGGGACCUGGCCACUUUGUGUGUUCUUUCCAUUGCAUUAGCUGCAUCGGUUUGAGUUCUCCAUGGUGAUACGUGGAAGUGAAGUUUGAGAAGAGCCUUCAAGGGCACCACUAGUGAAAUCACGGGAUCUUGAAUUGUGCGAGGGCGUGAGGAGAUUACGGGGCCUCUAGUUGUUUAUUAGGGAGCAUUGUGCCUACACACCGCUUCAAAUGGAGAUUAGCAUCCGCAAGGGUGUGAACUUAGUGUAACUUCUCGUCUCUGCUUGCCUCGGUUAUGUUUUACCCGAUUCCUUUACUUAUGCACUUUACUUUGUGAUAGCCAUAUUGUUUCUUGUUAUAUAUCUUGAUACCACUUAGUUGUUUAUCUUGCUUAGCAUAAGUUGUUGCUGCACAUAGGCGAGCCUAGUUGUUUUAGAUUUUGUGCUUGACUAAUUAAAUGCUAGUUUUGUUCUGCAUGUGUUCAAGCCUAAACCGUAAUUAUUUUAAAGUGCCUACUCACCCCACACCUCUAGGCGACAUCCACCUGCUUUCACUAUGGACAAAUCCUUCGAAUAUAACUCAAGUUAACCAUUAGUCCAUAGGGAUUGCCAUCAAUUACCAAAACUAAACAUGGGGGCACAUUGUUCUAACACACAUGCUCUCUCACACAUAAGCCUCAUAAUAUCCAUCCUCAAAACAACCACCAUACCUACCUAUCAUGGCAUUUGCAUAGACAUUCCGAGAUAUAUUAUCAUGCAACUUCCAUUGUUACUACACAUGACUUGAGAAUUCACUGUCAUAUUGCUUUGCUUGAUCAUAUAGAGAUGACAUAAUAUUUGUAGCAAAGCCACAAAUUCAUCAUUGUAAUACAUGUUACACUAAAGUAUAUUUCUAGUCAUCAUAGUUUUUAUAUUUUUGAGUUGUAAGUAAAAUAAAGUGUGAUUCAUUAUUAGGGUGCGUCCUACUUGUGAGCAUAAAAAAGAAAAAAAUAUGCUAGAGAGCCCAAAGGGGUGUAAAGAAAAAAUGAGAGAGGGUGCGCAUCACUGUCCUCUUACCACAUUUGUGCUUCAAAGUAGCACUUCCACUUUGCAUCUUAUAUAGAGAGUCCUCAUGAUCUUCAUUUUCAUAUACCAGUGGGAAUUUUACAUUAUAGAAUUUGACUUGCAUAUUCUGAUGACAAGCUUCCUCAAAUGCUCGAGGCCUUCAUAAGCAAGUAAAUUGGAUGCAAACCCACUUAGUUUCAUAUAGAAAGUGUUCAUACAGUUGAAUCUCUAGUGCAUCGUUUGCAUGGCAAGCCCUGCCCCCCUCAUCAACAUCAAUUUUAAGGCAUCUCCAUUGUCUCAAUGAUUAAGCCUCAUUAAUGUGAGACUUUUUUAUACAUUUUGUCUUUCCUUAUAAACCCCUAUCAUCAUUCUCUUUGCCAUACUAAGUGUUAAAGACCUUGGCUCACGCUCAAGUAUUGUGAGAAAGUUUAAAAGGUUGAAGCGAGAAAAGGUAUGAUUUAAUUGCUUGGUUUGACACCAGGGUUGUUCUUAAUUUGAUACCUCUAUACUAGGAAGACUAAGAGUGACAUGUAUUUCGUGAUUAAGUGUGUAUAGAUCAUUUUCUUUAGCUUCAUUAUUUUGAAAGGCAAUGAUUAUCCAUUUGCAUGUUUAUGUAUUACUGUUUGGAUGUUAAAUUGAUAUAGUAUUGCCUUGAAUCGUUCGUAUCCCGAUAUCCAUACCAUGGUUACAUCAAUUGAUCAAGGACAUGUUAGGUAGCAUUCAUCAUAAAAAAUUGUUUUUGUUAUCAUUUACCUACUUGAGGACGAGUAGCAAUUGAGCUUGGGGAUGAUGGUACAUCUCCAACUUAUCAAAGCUUUCUUUGGCUUUGCUUAACCAUACUAAAAUCAAACCUUAUCAAAAUCUAGAAUAUGAUGGGUGUAAUAUAUAUGUCGAACACGUCUGAGAUUAAACCACUUUAAUAUAUAUGUCAUUGUUGGAACGCACAAUCAAUUAGCUAGUACAUACAAUUAAAGGGAGUUGGUACGUUUACCUCACCUCCUGUCGCAUCCCCAUACGUCAGUUUCCCUGCAUUAACUCAAUCAACUCAAAUCAAAUCUUACCAAAAACUCAACUAAUUAAAAUGUUUCGUCCCUUCCUACCAGCACCCAAAUCAAAUCAAAUCUUAUGAGAAACCUCUACUAAAUCAGAACUCUCGUUGCCUUUCCAUACCCAUAUUCAAAUCAGAUCAAAUAUUACCAAUAUCUAGAAUAUGGUGGAUUUAAGGUAAAUACCAUACAUGAUUGGUGAUGAACCAUUAGAAUAUGUAUGUCCUGUUGCAACACACUAACAAUUAGCUCGUAACUGAAAUAGGAAGGGUUACAAUUAAUUUUAAUACAAUACGUGAUGAAGGUGGGAAUCUAUCUCCUCCAAUCCUAUGUGGAUUGUUUGGCGCAUCGAUGGGUUGCUUCAUUAUCUUUCCUUUGCACAAAACACAACACACACCUAGUAAACCCUCCCAUGGGCUCUUUGAUUUUGUGGCAAAUGGUUGCAAUAACUGAUUCAUGUGAAUCACCAAAGUUGAAAAUUGUGACCACAUCAUCAGCAUCACGUUCCACGCAUAUCCUUCUGUAUCCCAUAUCUCUAGCAAGUAGUAGGCCGUAUAUGAUGUUAUAUACCUCCAUAACCUGAACACAAGCAAUGAUCGGUACUAGAUAGCAUGCACCCUUAUUAAUUUUCCUUCAAGGUGUUUGAUCACAAGGCCAAGGAACUCUUGCCCUUUCAUUAAUCCCUUGCACAUCUGUUAUUUACAUGGCAAGUCAUGCGUCUUUUUUCCCUUGGAUCUGUUCUUACUUUUGUUUUUGAUAUUUUAACAUGAUAAGAUCAAUGACAUCCAUAAUUUGGUUACUUUCCUUUUUAUAAACAUCAAACAUAUAAAUAAGUGUUGGUGUUUGACAAGGUUGCCUUAGGGAGAAAAAUGCAAAAUGUGAAUUUAUAGGAGGCAAAAAUACUCUUAUUUCUCUCAUCUAAUCACCCCUAAAAAGUCUUCACAAUUGUGUCCAAACUUUGUUGUGGGGUGGCGGAAGGGGAGGUGGCCCGUGUCGACAUGUGACUAGGUACACAUGUAUGCUUUUGUAGCUUUCGAGUGGUUCAUGCAAGUUCACUAAGGAUCAAAGUUGCUAAGUAAGAUCAUAAACAACGACCAAACUACAAAAACGAUUGAUUGAUUACAAACUUAUUUGAUAGGAGUGUCCUUACCACAACUUUUUUAUCUAUCAGGAUGACAAAUGAAAAUGAAUACUACGAAAAAUACUACAAUCACCAUCUCAAAAUGCCCUGUGUUUUAUUACAAUCAUUAUUGUAGUUUUUAAAGAUGGUGGUAUUUAAUGACAACAACAAAUGCUAAAGUUUAGUGACAUUCUAGUGUUUACAAUAAUUUGCAUUGAAAAUGAAUCCCAAGUUUGGUCUUUGUAGUGUGGUCCUCGUUCACAACUCCAAAAAUAUGUUUAUCUAAUUUCAUUUAGUUUGGCGUUAGAUAGAGGCUAACUGUUUUGAUACCAGUUUGGCAUUGUCAACAUUUGACAGAAUCAGAUGUUGUAAAAAAUGGCAACUUUUUUUAUAGAUUCACAAGAAUCAAUUGGCAGCCAACCAAUUGAUAGCCAAUUUUCUUAUACUUACCAAAAGUUGGAAUGCCAAAUAUUGGCAUCAAACGAGUUAGACAUGUAGAUCCAAAAGUCUCAAUAGCAAAGAACAUGAUUUCAUUUUUUCUCAUUGCCUUUUCCCACAAGUCAACUCUCAUUGUUUGGAGGACCAAUUUUCUAAUUAUUUUGUGUGUGUGUGUGUGUGUUUUAUGUGUGGACUUCGAUGAUCUUAGGUUAUAUACAGAUACACGUAAAGCCUACUCAUCUUAUAGUUAUUUAAAAGAUACCAUUUGAUAAAUUGUCGUUCAAAUUGGCGAUGGCAUGUAGCUUCCUUCUCUCUAAAUCCAUAUUUUAGAGAUUAGUAGUAUAGUUUACCCGUAUGGUAAUAAUAAUUUAACAUAAGAUUUCAUCUUGAACAUCCAAAACAUUUUAUAUUUAAGAACCGAGGUGGGAAGACAUCUCAUCAAUUUGGUAGUGCCUUUGGCCUUGGUGUCGAGUACUUGCCGAUGUGACUAUCAAACGAUCAAUCUUCAAGAGCUGAUUGAAACAUUGUUUCAUGUUUAGAGUGAAAACUAAUGUUUCAACUUUUAUUGAUUGGGCGCGACGAACUUGCAUCAUUAUCUUAUCGAAGGCGUUAUCUACUAUUGUCGUACUAGUUUCGUUGACUGGUCUCGGUACGAGGAUGAAAACCCCUGUCUAGGCCAUAUAUGGUCGGAUGUGAAGAUGAUGACGCAUAUUUUUUUGAAGGUAUUUCUACGGAAGAAGUCGAUUUAGUCGUAGUUGUUUAUUUUAUAUCUGUUGAGGCACUGGUUACUUUUAGUCUACACUCUACUAAAUAAUUCAUAAAAAUGGAUGUGUACAUCGCUCGAUGCAUAGGUUGAAGAUUAUCCAUAUAAACAUGUGGAAUUAUUUGGAUUUUUUGAAACUUCAAAAUACCAUUUAAACACUAUUUAGAAUAUAGGACCCCAAUGCUUCGGUCCACCAAAGUGACUUUUUGUACUCCCUCCGUUUCUAAGUAUAAGUCUUUCUAGAGAUUUUAGUAGUAAACUAUAUAUGGAUGUAUAUAAACAUAUUUUAAAGUGUAGAUUCAAUUAUUUUGCUUCGUACGUAGUCCUCUAGUAAAAUCGCUUAAGAGAUUUAUAUUUAGGAACGGAGGGAGUACUACUUUUACGAUUUGGCAUGUCAGAGUCGUGAUGUUUUUACUACUUUUGUACAACUUUUACGAUUUUAUUUUUUGUACUACAUAUAGGACUCCAAAGUUUUGGAUUAAUUCUCUUUGGAGGAAUAGAUCCGCCUAGUGUCAAUCACCAACUUAGUUCCUUCAACGUCAAUUUUUGUAUGCUGGCACAAGGAAGUUUCCGCGUACGUAUAUAACGCAGAACAAUUUAGCAACGCGUGCAGUGGACAUCAAAGUGGAGAUGAUGCCUUCCACAAGAUACAAAACUCAGUACUUUUUUUUUUAUCAAUACAAAACUCAGUACUUGUCACCGUGGAAGAUCAAAAUGCCUUGUCAUGAAAUGAUUAAAUAGUGGAGGGCGCAGAUGCGCGAGCAUAAAAAGGGAAAAGGUAUAUGAAGUGCUGGAAAGUUUUGGGAGUACUGGAUGUCCCGAUAGGGCACCACCAUGCGGACGUGGUUGCUUUGACAAAUGAAGAAAAGACAUGCUCACGCCAAGAGGAUUGAAGCACUCCGGGCGCUCUAGAAAUAGGCCAUUGCUCCGUUUUACAAAUAAAGCACUUGAGAUGCUCCAUUCCCAUAUAUGAGUGAUUACUUCUAAAAACAAAUCAUGAAAUUAAAAAAAAAACACUAAAAUUUUAAGAUAUUAUUCCUGCGUGUUCAAUCUACUUCCUGGUUAAGUUUCGUGGAAAAAUAUCAGCAAACGUAUUCUCAAAAAAAAGGCUUUUUUUUAAUUCGUGAACUUUGAAGGAAGGCGGUUGGUUCUUUCCGUGAACCUGUAAAUUUAUAUUCCUGUGCAAGUGGUCUUCGAAGAUUCUACCUUAAAGUAUGCAUAGGUUUUGGGAAUUUCGAACUGUUUUUUAUUUCUUUUUUCCAAUCUUUUUUUAAUCCAUUUGUGGGUUCAAUUUUCUUUUUUAUUUUUAUUUUUCCAUUCUUUUUCGAAUUCAUGAAUUCUAUUUUUAAUCUUUCCAGUUUUAGUGUACUGACAUUUUUUACAUGUCAUGAUGUUUUUUAAAAUGAUUGUGCAAUCAUUUAUUUUAAUUUUAAAACAUUUAAGUGUUAUGAAUAUAUAUUUAAAAUGGCACAUGUAUUUUAUUUUGUAUGCCAUGAGCAUUCUUAGAAACUUCUACUAACAAGUUUGUACUUUUCAUGAAUAUUAUUUUUAAAUACACAUAACACUUACAAAAGUUGAACAUCUAAUAUUAUUAAACACGCAUUGAGUAUUUCUAAUACAUGUUGAACAUUUUUCAUAUACACGUUGAAAUUUUCUAAAAUAAAAUUUUAGCAUUAUUAUAAUCCAUUCUUUAAAAUUAUAUUUUCCACGAGACAUUCCUAAAGCAUAUGCACUAUUUUUUAUAAGGAACGGGCAUGAUUUAUAUGACAUUGUAUUUUUAGAAAGUAUCAAACAUAGUUCACUUUUUUAAAUUUCAUGGACAAUGGCAUAAAAUUCACUUUUUUGUGGAAUGAUACGAACAUUUUUAUAAAUGCAUGAACAUUUAUUAAAUGUUAUUUUUUUAAGAUGGGUGGACAAAUUUGUAAAUAAAUAUUAGCAUUUUUAAUAUAUAUUUUUUAUAUAAUUUAUAAAAAAUAUUAAGAAUGAAAAUAAUUGAGAGGAAAAUGUAUGUAGAUGCGUUAGAUCCGGCCAGAUGCAUGCCUGACUCGUGGGAUGGCCUAGCCCAUCUAACUAGGCGUUGGAGAUGAGGAGAUCUUGUGUCUUGCAAUAAACGAGAUAAAAAGUUCAACUAGCCCCCCUAUUGGAGGUGAGGAUAUCCUCUAGGCAUCGCCAUCGGAGCCCACAUAAACCUGUCAUCUCAUUCGAACGAGAAUCCUGUCAAUUUUGAGUGUGCAGGGGUGCUAACAUAGCGGAUCUCGCAAAGUUAAGAGACGGGGCAGGAAUAGAGGUAGGUAUAUGUGGAGCUCUUGCUUGUGUUUUUCAGUUUUAUUUUUGGGGUUUUGCAUGUUUUUUCUAUGUUUUUGUGAGCUUUUUUUAAAUUUAUGUGUUUCUUCGCGUGAAACAGCCAGUGUGAUUUUUUUCUUUUUCAAUAUUAAAUUUCCAAAGACACGCUGACCUUUUUUUCAUACAUGUUGUACAUUUUCUGUAUACAUGUGGAAGAUUUAUUGUUAGAUGGUAAAGAUCUUUCAAAUACAUAAUGAAUUAUUAUUUUUGAAUAUAUGUUAAACAUUUUUCAAGUAUACGCUUACCAGCUUUUUGAAUGGUAUGAAACUGUUUUUAAAACUACGUGAAUAUUCUUCCUUACAUUGAAUAUCAUGUUUUAGAAAUAUAGCAAACAUAUUUUUGGACCACAUGAAUAUUUAUUUCAAAUAUCACGAACGUUGUUUUGAAUGGUACUAAUAUUACGUGCUUUCUUACAUUUUAUAAACACUAGCAAAAGAGCCCGUGCGUUGCAAUGGAAGCAAACCAUACAACACGUCUUAACCUAAUAAUCAUGACUUGAGAUCUUUAUUUAAACUUACUGCAUAAAUAGAAUUUAAAGAAUGUUAAAUAAGUAAAAUAACAUCAUAUUUAGAUUAUACACAUCACUAUAGAUUCAAAUUACAUUAUAACUAGAAAUUUAAAAAUUAAAUAGGUAAGAUAUAUUAGAUUUCGAUUCAACACAUUUUUUGAAUGAAAGUUCAUAUGUAAUAAUUUAAAAUUAGAGUUACAGUUUAGAAGAUAUAAUUGUUUAUAGUAUUUGUUAAUUAUAAUUGGACCACGGAUUAAUUAACAACAUGGAUCGGCCUCGUUAUGAAAAAUGGAUUGUACGCUAUUGAUUAAAAUUACAGCAUAAAUAUUAUUUAAAAAUUAUUAAAUAAAUAAAAUUAUAUUAUAUUUAAAUUGUGCGCAUCACUAUUGAUUUAAACUACAUUAUAAACAGAAUUUUAAAAAAUUAAUAGAUAAACUAACAUUAUAUUCAGAUUUUACAUAUUUUUCUAAUAAAAUUUCAUAUAUAAUAAUGUAAAAUUGGAGUUACUGUUUAAAAGAUAUAUUUUUUUAAAGUAUUUUGCACUUAUAAUUUAACUACAGAUUAAUUAAUUUAAAAUUGUAGGAGUGUUUUCGAAAACAUACGGAAAAUGAUUGGUUUUUUUUACUCAAGUAUGUACUGCGGGUUUAUUUUAUGAAACUAAAGGAGGUUUCUACAAAAAAUUCAGAAAACGAUUCGUUCUCUCACUGUGUUAUGUACUGCGGGUUGAUUUCGAAAAAGCACAUGGGGUUUCCUGUAAAAACGAAAAAAACGAUUCAUCUCUCACUUAAAUCUGGACUGUGGGUUGAUUUUGGGAAACUUCAAGUUUUUUUUUGCAAAACGACCAUGACAGACGGAAGAAGCACUGCGUACUUUAUUAUUAGGGAGAGAUUUGAUAAAUGUAAUGGACAAUUAUUUGUACUACUUGAACAUUUUUCCUAUUUCAUGAACAUAUUUUUGAAAGAUACAAACAUAUCUUAAAAACUAGGUGAACAUCAUUUUUAUAUUGUAGUAACCUUUUAUUAAAGAUAGGGUCAAUGAUUUUUAAAACUUUAAGUAAAGUCAUCAAUUUUCUGUACAAACUUAAAUCAUUUCAGAAUAUAAACAAAAGUAAGAAAUAAAAAAAACAUGAAGAACAAAACACACAGCUUGGGACGCAAGUUUCAUGAUGAUGGGUCUGGCCCACUUAGGCCUGCGCACGCCUGUCGACUCGCUACAUGCAAAAGAAAGAUUCACCACGGCGUACCGUCCGACUCCCACACAGGAUGCUCUGCUCGGGACUGUGUCCGGUGAACCGGUGCAACUGGUGCUACCGGUGCACCAGACCACCGUUACAUAUUUUAAAAUAUUCGAAAAAAUCCAACAAAAAUUUAAUGCAUUGACACAACAUUAAUAUACGCUGUCACAAAAUUCAAAACAAUAUUCGAAACAUCACUUGAGAUAGAAAAAUAACAAAUUCGAUACUAAAUAAUACAUAACACAAGUUGGGCUCCAGGUUUGGCCCAUUAGUACAUUGAUGCCGAAUUUGUCAUUUUUAUAUCUUGAGCAAUGUUAAUAAUUUUGAUUUGAUUUUUUUGUGACAACAUACAAUGAUGUUAUGUAGAUGCAUUGAUUUUUUUCGAAACUUUUCAAACAUCUUAAAAUGUGUAAUGAUGGUCUGGUGCACCGGUAGCACCAAUUGCCCCGGUACACCAGAUACAUCCCCUGCUUUGAUUGGACCGACCAUGACAACAAUAUUGUAGCUGGAUAAAUUUGUCUUAUAUUUUUUGGUAGCGGACCGACUACAACAACUAUUAGAAUACUGUAGCUGGAUAAAUUUUGUAGCAGACCGACUACAAUAGCUUUUCUUAUAUUUUUUUAAACUAGCAUAUGCAUGUGCGUUGCAAAGGAAUAAUCGAAUGUGUAAAAUGUAAAAGUCAGGAUGUAUGGAUAAAAUAGAGUUAAAAAAACUUGCGAGAAUUUUUGAGCCCAAAACUUUUGCCGGCAUGUCUUCUAGUGUGGUGGUGCUCUCUGUAGUUUUUCUUAUUCAUCUAUAAUAAAUAGUCUUCCAUUUCAGUGAGGACAUACACAUGAGAUGGUAUUGGCAACUCCUUUUUUUACUGCGUUCUUCCUUCAUCGAGUAGCUCAGCCAGUCAGCCUCUCGAUCUUCCCAAUCCAAGCUCGCCACAGCUUAAAUAAAAACGACACAAAUAAAUAAGUACUCCCUCUAUAAACUAAAAUAAGACUGUUUAGAUUAUUAAAAUAGUAUUUUAAAUGCUUUUCUAUUAAUUUACGGAAGAAGUAUUUGCUAACUCCUAUAUCUGCAGAUGUAGUAACUGAGCCAGGGACGGAGCCAGGAAUUUGGUAUAGGGGGGGGCGAGUUCCACAAUUUAAAAGUGUGCAAAAGGCAUAAGUCUGAACUCAUGCUUUCACUGGUGUAAACACUACAAAAGUACUAGAUUUUUUUAAUUUUUUUCAAUACAAAAUGCUUCUCAAGUUAGCUAUAUAGAAAAUUUUAGUGUAUGGUACUAGAACUACGUGAUUCCAAAUCAAAUAGUACUAGAACUUUUAGACAAAAAAAACUACGAUUUGAAUCUAAGGAUAAUUGUGACAGUGGACUUAUCAUAUAGGAAUAUUAUAGGAUGUGGUACGUCGUCAGAUCCCUGGUCGUUCUUGGUGGUGGUGCUUUCCCUAAUCCUGUAUAUGUUGGGUGACCGUGAUAUGAUAGAUUGGGGAUUGCAGGCCUCAAGCUUUGGACGUAAAUAGCACAUAAGCAACUCCUUUUCAGUGUUCUCUUCCUCUUCAUAUCCAUACAAACAUAACUAAACAAUCAAGAAAUUCCUAAUUAACUUGUAAUCCUUGUAGGAUUUUAAUGGUACAGCCGUAAAGAUUUAAACGAAAUAAAAAGAAAGAGAUGAAGCAAUAGAGUAAGGGUUAACCUGAACCUAUGCAGUCAUGCUAAACCUCAAUCAGCCCUGAUCUUUGCUUGGAGGCAGGGGAAAAUUUCUCCCGGCGGCUGUAGGCGGAGACUCAAGCGGAUGAUGGAUAGAAACAUUGCACGAAGCCACGAUCUGGGUGAUGCUGCGGUCAAAUCUAUUGAUCGAGCUGUCAGGAAACAAAUGGGCUGUGUGCGUGCUUCUACUGGGUUUCACGUUUGACAGUGGGCCCUUUUUACUUUCCUAGGUUUUAGUUGUACAUGGGCUGGGGAUGGGUCCCUUAGGAGCUUCACUUUGUAUCCGCUAAAAAAACAUGGGGGGGGGGGGCAGAUCGAGCAAAAAGGAAUCGCUAAUUGCGAUCUGCCUAAUAGUUAACACUGGGCAACGUGAUCGUUGGGGGGGGGGAGGUGGUCUCUUCCCCCCUUGGAUCCGUGCCUGAACUGAGCUAGGCCCACAACACCGCUACUUAUUUGUGUGUGAUAAUGUGAAAGACAAUAAAACAUCGGAAAUUGUUUUUUGGAGCUGGGCCUCUAUGGUGGCCUUUAAAUUUGAAAUCCAAAAUACAUUAAAAUUCAUAUUUUUACAUUUCAAAUUUUUAAGGAAAAUACAGAGAUAAGUCAAUGCGUAACACACAUGUAUGUAAAUUUUUAGAAAAAAAACGUUCAAAUGAGGUCUGUACAGAAAAGACAAAUCCACAGCUUUUUAACACAUGAUACUAUUUAUAGUCCCAGGUCAUGAAUUUGUCUAUUUUGUGCAGAUCGUAUUUUAAGGUAAUUCAUUCUUAAACUCUACACACAUACACAUAACAUCCUUCUUUACUUGCAUAUUUUUUCAGAUUCUUUUGAAACCAAAAAAGAUUGAAAUUUGAUUUUUUCAAAAAUUUCAAGCUCCAUGGAGCUCGGCCUCCAAACGUCCAUUCUCAUAAAACUUGGUCUAUAAAACUAUACUCUCCUCUAUGUCUACACAUUCCUUUAUACAUAGUUCUCUUUCUCUCUCUCCUUUUAUAAUCCCACUACAAAGUAAUUUAGCAGCAGCAUUACGCGCACACACACUCCCCUUAAAGACACACACACGCAUGCACACACAGCCAGCAAUUUAGCAGCAGCACACACACAUGGAUAUUCUUUUUUCCAGUGUUCAUCUGGUCAACCAGGGACGCUCACGUCAGCGUGAACCCGCACCAAUGCAGUCGUGUGUGAUCGAUUGCUAGGCUGUCUAUUCCAUCCAGUCGAUAGAUACAUCAUUCCCUGAAAAAGAAGUUGGGCAUCUCUGGGAUCACAACCCUGUAACGAACAUUUGUUUUGUACUAUUUGAACAUUUUUCAGUUUCAUGAACAUAUUUUUGAAUGACAAGAACAUACUUUAAAAACUGCACCAACAAUAUUCCUAUACUGUAGUAACAUUUUAAAAAUAUGCGGUCAAUGGUUUUUAAAAUUUUAAGUAAAUCCAAUUUUUUAUACAUAUUUAAAUUAUUUCAGAAUAUAAGUAAAAGUAAGAAAACAAAAAAAAAACUUGAGGAGCAAAUACCAGCUUAUGACACUCGUCUUUUGCUGUUGGCCCAGGACCAUUUACGCUGGCGCGCGCCUAUUUGUCUCUCGUAUUCAAAAAUGUGCAUACAUUCCAAAACAAAUGCUCGCUAAUUCAAAAUUAAUGGAUGAACAUUUUUUGAACUUGAUGAAUUUUUCUACUCAAGAACAUCUUUCACUCAUUUAAAAUUAUUUGAUUAACAAAUUUUGCAUUCGAUGAACAUUUUUGAAAACGUUUGUGUCCAAAUUUUGAAUUUGAUGAACAUUUUAAAAAACUUACGCACCAAUUUAGAUUUUGACGAACAUUUUUUUAAUAUUAGAAUUUUUUUAAUAUGAUGAACAAUUUCUAAAUUCUAUGAACAAAAUUUAAAUCCGAUCAAAAAAAUUACGUGGUUGAUUUUUUUAAUCUGAUGAACAGAAUAAUGUUCGCGAAUUUUCAAAUAAAGAUUGAAUAAGUAAACAAUAAAAGUAUGAAAAAACUGAAAUGAUAAAAAAGAAAAUAAUAAAAGAAAGCGGGAACAACAAAAAGUCAAAAAAGAAACCCAGGUUGAGAGAUGGUUCAUACUGUAGAUUCCAGCGCGCCAGGGGGUUGCGCGCACGGUGGCUCUGUGCUGCCUUACGCGCCGUAUAGGAGCCACCGUUACUCGCCACUACAGCCGGCCUGCGACACGGCGAGUGCUUCGACUGGACCAGCUAUCAGACUACUGUAGCUAGAUAGCUUUGCAGCGGACUGACUACGCGCUUCUUUAACAUUCCUUUUUCCGCGGAAAAACCCUAAAAAAUUGUUUUUAAAAAGUGCUUCGUUUUUUGAAAUUUUGAUUUUUUUUACAAAACACUGAUAUUAUUAAAAUUUGUGAAUAUAUUUUGGAAAACACGAAAACAUCUUGUAAUUUUUCUUGGAAAGCGCGCUUUUCUGAAAAAUGUGAAUAGUUAUUUCAAAAAAAAUCGAAAACUAAUAAAAUUACAUUUUCUUUAAAAUUAAAUUAUUUCAUCGAAAAAUGAACAAAUAUUAUUUUUUGAACAUUUUUUCAAAACACAAAAAAUGUAUAAAAUUUUCAUUUUCUAAAAGCACAAACAAUUUAGAAAUUUGUAAAAAAAAUAAAAUAUAGAAAAAAGUUAGAAAUGGAAAAAACACAAAAAUAAAUACCAUACAAAAAAACUAUGGAGAUAGAAAACUGGUUGACAAACCAUGAUCCCUCAGCAUGUAACUAGCUCUAAAUGGGACAACCGAUCUAAAGUCUGUUACCCUAUAAAAACGGAACCUUAGCUCAAAAAAUUAAUAAUAUACAGAAAUAGAUCCUGAUAAGUACCUAACGUGUGGCACAGACACAUGAUAAUUCUGAAUAUGUUUUAGGGCAAGUUUGUGACGUGGGAAUGACAACUUUAAUUAUACAAAAUGGCAAUCAGGAUUGAAGUGCCACGCACGUGAUGUGGGACACUUAUCAUUUCCUGUCUUCUUUUGAGAAAAGACGUUUUUUAUUAACUUAAAAUGUAAUAUUGAGUGAAUACAAAGUAUAAAGAGUGACAUUCGAUUUUUAAAAUGCACACAACCAUCAAACCAAUAGCCUAACAAAUAAUAUAAAAACGAUAAAGUGGCAAUAGUAAAUUCAAAUUAGGCCGAACUAUGGCCAUGUCGACGGAGAUUAUGCUGUCACCCACGUUGGGUAAAAAACCUUCUUGACCAUCCGCUCCAAUUGCAUACACACCACUAAACAGCGAUUGUCGAUUGAUACUCCGUUCGAUGCAGAGUAAACCAGGUAAGAAGUCAAUGUGUACAAUGAUAAAUAAUGUGCAUAGGAGAAGAUAUUUUGCCAUUAAAAACAUAAUAAGUUUUACGUAGCCAAAACGACAUAGUGAGGCACAUGCUCCCACCUGUAUUAGUGUGCUAAAUGUGUUUGGUAUUUCAUCAAACCAGUGAUCAUAUACAUUAACACCACUUGUUGGUGGAUAUAAAUUUGACACUCAUCAUUUGGGCACUCGCAGAAAGAAAAGAAAAAAAGAAACUCCUGAUUUGAGGAAAAAAGAUUCUAACAUUUGCUCGUGACUCGCCCGAAUCCUCAACAAUAUUAGGCCGUAGAAGCGUUAAAUUGGGACUAUUAAAGGGGAAAUGAUUAUAAUCAAUUGACGUUUCGUCACUUGUGUAGCCGUCAGAUUCAAAUUUCAUCGGACCAUGCACGACAUACAUAUUAGUGCAACACAAUAGGUGUUACAAACCACGGGAUUACAACACACUAAAUAUUGUGAAACUCUCGAGUCUUCUGUCUAUAUCGUAUCCGGAGUCACGACACCAAUUCUCUUGACUCAAUUCAAGGGUGACGCGUGCCUCUGCUGCUUUAAUAUUUUUUCGCAACAUCAUCUAUGUUGUAGAAGUCUUUUCGUAACAACAUCGAAGUUGCAAAAAAUUGAAGGCCAAAAAAUAUUCCGUAACAUCAUCUGUGUUGAAUAAAUCGUUUCGCAAACACACCCACAUUAUAAAAAAAUAAAACAAAGAAAUAAUAACUCCGUAACAGAAUAUGUGUUGUAAGUGUUUCUGCAACAUGUGAUAUACUCCCUCCGUUCCUAAAUAUAAGUCUUUCUACAGGUUCAACUAAUGGACUACAUACGGAUGUAUAUAGACAUACUUUAGAAUAUAGAUUUAUUUAUUUUGCUUCGUAUGUAGACACCUAGUGAAAUAUCUUAAAAGACUUAUAUUUAGCUACGGAGGGAGUAUUACAUAGAAGGAUUCAUGUCUUUGUUGUAAUAGUGAGGAAAAAUACAUGUCACUGAAGCACAGAUUUUUUUUAGAAGAUCCGCCCUCGCGGGAUCCUCUGCUCAAGCUUCUGCUCGACGCGGCCGCAGGUGGCGCCCGGGAGGACGACGCCGAUGGGUUGGAGAAUGACCGGGCAACCAGCAGCCGUAAACCACAGCUCCCGAACGUGCAACCGAAACAUGACAUCAAAUCGGCAGCUUUGCACCACCUUCCCUGCUGAUUCCCAUCACAAAUACAGUAUAUCCGUGGAUGAAUUUAUAAUAUGGCGACGAGUUACCGGACCGCCGUCAAAUCAGCCAUGGUCGGGGCGACCCCGACUGCACCAGAAAGGUUUCUAGAAGAGAUCGACGAGCACGGCAACUGCAGCCUGCAGGUGAGCAUCGGCAUGGCGACCCGGAAGGCCGUCAAGGAUCGCGUCGGCGUCACCGUCGGCACUUGCCAUCACCACGGACGGUUAAACAAACCUGAGGCUUUCGGGCGUCGAGCGUGGUUGCCCCUCGACUCCACAACGAAGGUUAUUGCACGCCGUCGUACGAUUUUGAUGGAUAAUUGGUGAGCUUGCUGGCGAAACAUGAUGAUUGCCUAGGAUUAUGCUACUUCGGUCUACUCCUGAACCGGGUUCACUCGAGCAUGUAGUGACUAGUUCAAUCCUAUAAACAGUUAAUUUUCGGUUGAUACUAAUAGAAGUGUGAGCACGAUCUUUUCAAUCUUUUUUUACUUGCACGAAGCAGUGAUUUAGAAAUACUUAUUUUCCUUUCUAUUUAAAAAACGGAUCCAUAUAUCUAUAUAAAGGUUUAUAGGAAGUAACUAGGCAGCAAGCCUGGUAAGCUAUCUCAAAAAGGUUUAUAGAAAGUACAAAGCACAUUAAACAUGAUAAAAAAAAUACAUUGAGGACCCUACACCAUGGAACGACCAUUGUCGUCGUCAUAACAAGCUAACAACGUGUCCCUCUUGUCGCUUCCAUAUCAGAGUCGUACUACAUGAAUCAGUUUCUUUGCCGUCUACCAUAGCGGACGUCAAAGGUCUUUGUCGUCCGUUGGUAGAUUGCAAAUUUUUCAGCACUGAAAGUCACGGUAAAGACCUUCUUUACCGUUUGCUUGGAGGAAGCGGACAAAGAUCUUUGCCGUCUGAUACGAGUGCUAGAAGUGCAACAAGUGGUGUAGUAGCUCAUGAUGAUGCAAGAAACUUGUUCGUCUGAUACCAAGGGAUUUUGUCCCUUAUGCAAUCGAACUCCUUGCACUUCGGGAUGCGAUGGUGUUGGCUACAGAGAAAAGCUGGCAUAGGGUGAUCGUUGAAACAGACUGUCGAGUGGUUCAUGGUGAUUGGAAAAAGCUGAAAAGUGGUCGGACGAAGGGCAUGUCAUCCUAGAGAUACAUUCAUAUCUCUCACACUUUCAGGAAUUCAAGAUUCACUAUGCUUGAAGAGAAGCCAAUGAGGUUGCUCAUCGGGGUGUGAAAGGAGGUCUUUGUGUGUCU
RNAcentral lists this long non-coding RNA (40817 nucleotides) under Hordeum vulgare. RNAcentral describes it as "long non-coding RNA (HVUL_LNC013415)". The record is from RNAcentral. Lineage: Eukaryota; Viridiplantae; Streptophyta; Magnoliopsida; Poales; Poaceae.